Capra hircus (goat) is the source of this 2439-nucleotide long non-coding RNA. NCBI's taxonomy places the organism in Eukaryota, Metazoa, Chordata, Mammalia, Artiodactyla, Bovidae. The record is from Ensembl.
GUAGAUGACAAACUGAUGAUAAGACAACAUUUUCAGCCCUAUAAUAUUAUUGUAGGUGCUGGAGGUAUAGUGGUAGACAGACCAGAUAGAGACUCACUGCAAUGUAAAGAAAGUGAACAGGAAUCUAAGAUGGAAAAAAUACAGUGGUUGGUGGGCCUUUUAAAGCAAAUUUGCCAUAUUAUUCUCAAGAGAGUUAUGAUUUUAAAAUGUACUGCAAAUACAUGGAGAAAAAUCUUCUUUAUUUCUAUUCAGUAUUCAGCACAAACCCGGUUUAAAGUUUGGCAGCAAAUUGAAUUUUAGAAACAAUGAGUUUCAGCCCUGUGCAUUAUGGGAAGUACAGCCCACUUGCUGAGUCCUCUGUUCUAAAGGGGAAUGCUAUGCACUUUGUAUGGCAGACCAGAGGCUCUUCAUUUCCGUGCAGAAAGUAGGUUUCGUAUCACAGGAAGCUCCUGCUUUUCUUUUUCUCCAAUGCUCCUUAGGUUUGUGCUCAGAAUGGAAGGGCCUCCCCUGCGCCGCGCCGCCCCUCUUUCCCACGGCCCCAGAAUCUGUGUCCUUUACUUCCUGGCAGUCAUCAGCUGCUGGGUUUUCCUUCUCGUCUUUUCUGAAAGCAGGAAACGCAGAGGAGGUGCCUUGGAGACUGAAGGCAGCUUGCGCAGUGGUCUGACCUCUGCUCCACCCCACUUGGCUCUCUGCCAAGGGCAGUGGGGCAGCCAUGUGACCAAACCUGAUCUUCAGAGGCAGGAGAAUCUCCCUGCCCCCACCCUGGCUACACUAGUACCCAGCUGCUGGAGUCAGUUUUGUUCCCUUAAAGAGUCUUCAAGACAAAAUUUCAGCAAGCAGGAACCUGACUGAUACUUCAAACCUGAAGAUGAAUUCAAUGCCUGUUCUUUAUGUAAACUUGUCUUCAGACAUGCACAGUAGCUGGGUUCACAGAUCAGCAGAGGUGAUAUGAAAAACACAUUGGGUCAAGCCUCUAUCAUGAGAUCAAGGAAAAUCAGUUUUCUCGCCAGUAAAAACAGAGUAGCAUGUUUUCAAAUCUCACAGCUCCCAGCGAGCCCUAGUGUCUCCCUUUGGUCUGUGAAGCAGUUAAACUCACCCUCUCCUGCUGUUGCGACAGGCUUUGUCUACGCCCUAGCAGCACAAAUACCAAAGGAAAAUGGGACCAGUAGCUGCUUUCCUUGCUUUGGAGAAAACAGACAUGAUUUCACAGCCAAAAAAAAAAAAAGACACCUGAUCUUUUUAGCCCCUUUUGUUUCUUCUCCCCAAGUUUUACAGCUCUUUUUAUCUGUUAAAGAAAAAAACAAAAAGUUGUACACACAUUUUCAAAAUGUGAUGCAUAAUACAACUUCAUACAUUUAGGAGGCUGACAGCUGCCCUCUGAGGCACAGCCUGACAGCCUAAAAUCCAGAAAUCAAUCAUUUAGAUAUAGUGAUGCUCUGCUAUUGCUCCUGGUAUGUACUGCAGCACCCAGGAAUCACUUAUUUGAGAUGUGCCAUCGCAACUCUGAUAGAUUAAAGCACCACAUCCAGGAAACAAUUGUAUUGCGGGGGGAGGGGAUGCUCUCAUAGAUCUGCCAUGUUACAGCCCAGAAUCCAGCAGCCAACCAGGCAAGUCUGUGCUGAAUCGGAGCUUCCAGAAACCUGUGAAGCAGCAGGAUGACAGCUCUGUUCUUCAACAGCCCAUUAUGAACUAAUUAGCAUACAUGAAUUGCAGAUUUGAAGCAUUAAAGUGAUGUACAAAUCAUUAAUUUUUUGUCAAAUCCAUGUCAUCCUUGUGUAUGCCUUCCUAUUUUAAUGUUGCAUGACAGUGAAAAGAGGUACAAUCCUCUGUAUAUAAAGAGGAGAGAUUUGGUGUAGCUGAUAUAAUGAGAUCUAUUUAAACACUAUGUAUUUUCUAGCUUUGAAUAUAUCUACUUGGAAAAAUGCUACACUUGUCCCAUUAGGGUUAAUUGUAAAAGGAUGUUAAUAUAUUCAAAACCCCAGGGGUGGUUCUACAUGUUGUCUGAGUGAAACAGGAGAUGUAAGACCAACUUCACAUUUAAGCUUGCUUUUUAAAAAGUCCUCUUUCUGAUGAAUAAAGAGAGCCAUAAAAUCUUUCUCACUGACUAUGGAAGGUGUCACUAUUCAGAAAGGGAGUUGAGCUUUGGGGUGGGUGAGGGCUCCAACACAGCAGAUCUAUUCUCAUUAACCCAAUGCCAAACUUAAUUUAUAAAGAUGUACAAUGCAGUGCAAUGGAAAAGGGGAAAUAACAUCAAAGCUUAUUUUUACACUGGAAAAGGCUUCUAAAUAUUAAUUUGUGGGUUUUUUGUAUUGUCUCUGUGUAUUUAAUUGCUAAAGCUAUUUGUACUUAAGCAAAUGCUUGGUGUAUCAUUUGAAUUUCUUUUUUUUCUUAUUACAGUGGAGUCACAAUGCUUAAUUUGUUAGUACUGUAAUAGUUGUC